UACGUAGGGGGCAAGCGUUGUUCGGAAUUACUGGGCGUAAAGCGCGAUUAGGCGGUUUGAAAAGUCAGAUGUGAAAGCCCCGGGCUCAACUUGGGAACUGCAUUUGAUACUGUCAGACUAGAGUACAGAAGAGGUGACUGGAAUUCCCAGUGUAGCGGUGAAAUGCGUAGAUAUCGAGAGGAACACCUGCGGCGAAGGCGGGUUGCUGGGCUGACACUGACGCUGAAGCGCGAAAGCUAGGGGAGCGAACGGG
This 253-nucleotide ribosomal RNA is filed under the name uncultured prokaryote. RNAcentral describes it as "partial 16S ribosomal RNA". It matches the Rfam family "Bacterial small subunit ribosomal RNA", at positions 524 to 776 of the family's 1533-position model. The record is from RNAcentral.